This 253-nucleotide ribosomal RNA is filed under the name uncultured bacterium. RNAcentral's name for it is "partial 16S ribosomal RNA". It matches the Rfam family "Bacterial small subunit ribosomal RNA", at positions 524 to 776 of the family's 1533-position model. The record is from RNAcentral.
UACGUAGGGUGCAAGCGUUGUCCGGAAUUAUUGGGCGUAAAGAGCUCGUAGGCGGUUUGUCGCGUCUGCUGUGAAAUCCCGAGGCUCAACCUCGGGUCUGCAGUGGGUACGGGCAGACUAGAGUGCGGUAGGGGAGAUUGGAACUCCUGGUGUAGCGGUGGAAUGCGUAGAGAUCCGGAAGAACACCGGUGGCGAAGGCGGUCUGCUGGGCCAAGACUGACGCUGAGGCGCGACAGCGUGGGGAGCAAACAGG